RNAcentral lists this small RNA (420 nucleotides) under Pongo abelii (Sumatran orangutan). Its description in RNAcentral is "processed transcript". The record is from RNAcentral. Lineage: Eukaryota; Metazoa; Chordata; Mammalia; Primates; Hominidae.
AAUCAGUGUCGGGAACUUCUGCAGGGCACUUCAGAAUCAGUGUCGGGAACUUCUGCAUUCUAUUUUUCACGGACACAGACAGGAACACUGACAUGCAAAAGCAAAACAAUCAAAAAGCAUUUUCAUUUGUUUUCCAGGUGAGGCCGGCAGAGAACAAGAAGAGCUGAAACGGAGGCGAGGUUAGUACCCAGCAAAGACCCGUGGCGAGGAGAGACAAUGAAGAGGACCAUGGGACUGAACCCUGAGAAAGGCAGAGGAGACGCUGGCUGGUGGGGCCUUCCCGGCGGACGGGUGAUGGACAGCCUGUGUCUCCAAUCGCGUUCUUAAAAGGGUGCGGGAAGGCCAAUGAGCGGACAGCGAGGGCCGGAGCGGGGUUGAGGCUUGGGUGCAGAGCUGGAGAACCGCGGCUGGGGCCGGAGU